RNAcentral lists this ribosomal RNA (467 nucleotides) under uncultured bacterium. RNAcentral's name for it is "partial 16S ribosomal RNA". It matches the Rfam family "Bacterial small subunit ribosomal RNA", at positions 28 to 507 of the family's 1533-position model. The record is from RNAcentral.
GACGAACGCUGGCGGCGUGCUUAACACAUGCAAGUCGAACGGAAAGGCCUCUUUCGGGGGGUACUCGAGUGGCGAACGGGUGAGUAACACGUGAGUAACCUGCCCUUGACUUUGGGAUAACUUCAGGAAACUGGGGCUAAUACCGGAUAGGAGCUCCUGCUGCAUGGUGGGGGUUGGAAAGUUUCGGCGGUUGGGGAUGGACUCGCGGCUUAUCAGCUUGUUGGUGGGGUAGUGGCUUACCAAGGCUUUGACGGGUAGCCGGCCUGAGAGGGUGACCGGCCACAUUGGGACUGAGAUACGGCCCAGACGCCUACGGGAGGCAGCAGUGGGGAAUAUUGCACAAGGGGUGGAGGCCGGAUGCAGCAACGCCGUGGGCGGGAUGACGGCCUUCGGGUUGUAAACCGCUUUCGCUCAUGACGAAGCUUUGUGUGACGGUAGUGGGUAAAGAAGCACCGGCUAACUACGUG